AUCAACGUGAGUACUUUUUUAAUAUAAUAUUAAUUCUCUUUUUAGCUACCCGCCAAAUUCAGUGCGUACACGGUGUAUUAUUAUAUUGUAAUUAUACUUCAAAUAUUUGAUUUGUUCUUUUAUUUUUAAUUUAACAUUCUGAUAACGAAUGACAAUUUUAUUAUUUUAUUUAUUGGAGGAAGAUGGAAAGUGAAAGAAAAUUGUCAAAACUUAUUAUUAUUUAUUUUUUUGAGGAAAAUGGACAAUGGAGAAAAACGGUAUCUCGUUUUUUGAGAAAAAUGGCUGUGGCCAAUGGAUGUGUUAAAUUUGAAUGCAUUAAUAACUCAACAGCUAUACAACAGAAGAGUAUAAUUUAAAUUAAAUUAAAAACACAUAGAAUUUAUAUAAUAAAGCCAGAAUCCAAAAUAAACUUAAUAGAUAAUAGAUUUAAUAGUGAAGAUGUAAUUAGUAUUGAGAAUGCAGUGGAGAUUAACUGGACAAUUGAAAAACCUAAGAGAAUUAAUUAAAGCUAGACGUUCGGAUAUCAGACCAGAGCAGUCAAAUAAUACAUGAGAUAGAUCACAAAUACACUCAUUCCGAUGCAGUGUGUAGAAAGGAGAAUCAUUUAAAUAAUAGGUGGUGAAACAAGUGGUUAAUGUUUUAAUGACCUGAAAAUAAAUCAUGUACAGAAAAUGCCAAUUUAAACAACUGGGGUAUAUUUCAAGUUUCUACGACAAGUAAUUUUUAACUAUAACAAAAUUUUACAAUUAUUGGAUUGUAAAUAAUCGUUAUUUUAUACGUGAAUAUUUGACUUCGUUAAAAUUUAAACUUAAGAUAAAAAC
Aphis gossypii (cotton aphid) is the source of this 821-nucleotide long non-coding RNA. RefSeq lists it as uncharacterized. Lineage: Eukaryota; Metazoa; Arthropoda; Insecta; Hemiptera; Aphididae. The transcript is spliced from 3 exons. The record is from RefSeq and is a predicted model, not a curated record.